CUUGCCUACGGGGGGCAGCAGUGGGGAAUAUUGCACAAUGGGGGGAACCCUGAUGCAGCGACGCCGCGUGAGUGAAGAAGUAUUUCGGUAUGUAAAGCUCUAUCAGCAGGGAAGAAGAUGACGGUACCUGCAGAAGAAGCCCCGGCUAACUACGUGCCAGCAGCCGCGGUAAUACGUAGGGGGCAAGCGUUAUCCGGAUUCAUUGGGCGUAAAGCGCGCGCAGGCGGGUUGCUAAGCGGGACCUCUAAUCUCAGGGCUCAACCUUGAGCCGGGUCCCGAACUGGCAGCCUCGGGGUCGGUAGGGG
This 305-nucleotide ribosomal RNA is filed under the name uncultured bacterium. Its description in RNAcentral is "bacterial SSU rRNA". It matches the Rfam family "Bacterial small subunit ribosomal RNA", at positions 334 to 657 of the family's 1533-position model. The record is from RNAcentral.